This is a long non-coding RNA of Hippoglossus stenolepis (Pacific halibut), 4063 nucleotides long. RefSeq lists it as uncharacterized. The record is from RefSeq and is a predicted model, not a curated record. The transcript is spliced from 3 exons. NCBI's taxonomy places the organism in Eukaryota, Metazoa, Chordata, Actinopteri, Pleuronectiformes, Pleuronectidae.
UUUCUGUUUUCAGCUCUUUCAUUUCCCUCCUGCAUUACUUCAAUAAAGGGGAACUUCGCAAGAGUGAGUUGCCGAAGAGAAACUGCACGACUUCACUCUGAGCUCAGACCUUGACCCACAACGUCCCAGUCUGGUUCGAUAAUGUUCAUCAAUAGCACCCUUGAGCCUUGGGUUACUCAAAAUGCAGAGGACCAGUCAAGGCAAAUCAGCUCCUCCAUAGGUCUGGGUGUGGGGCUGACGCUGUUGGUUCUCACUGCGAUUUCCGCCGGUGCGAUCGUGUACAAGUUCAAGAGUAAACUCAGGAAUUUGGUGCAAUCUGGACAAAGAAGAGGAAGAAGCAACCAGAAGAAGACGGACUACCCAGAGACGACCCAAGCUGACUCCCACUACACUGAUCUGAUCAGAGAACAGCCAACGGCACACAACCCUAUCUAUGAAAACUACAAGAGGCCUGCAGCACGGCAGAGCAGGUCGCCUGGGGAACUUGAAGAGGAUUUGUAUUUGCAAUGUGAUUCACCGGAUAAUGCAAUAUACGGCAACGACCCCAAGUGCAACCUCGUCAUCUGUGACACGUCCCAAGAAGAGGACGUGUACAUUAUGCCAGAUUCAUGAGGAGUAAAAUGUCUCAAAUUUUUUAUAUUUCAAUUUAUUCUGAAUAUGAACCAUUUUUACAGGCUCAGAAGCUCAAAUUGUAUAUUGUUACAAGUACAAAAUAUACUGCUUCUUAAUACAGCUUACAUAUAGAUAUAUAUAUAUAUAUAAAAAACUGUGUACUCUGGAUAUUAAAUACAAGUUGACACCCACAGGCCACAUAUUUUAUACAUACUAUAUGUUUUAUUAAUGAGCAUCAUCUGUAAAGUUGGAAUCAUGUGGAGAAGCUGCUGAAGGCUACAUGUUCUGGUUACCAUAGACUAUGUGAUUUAAGGGAAAAACAUUUUAUCAUGAGUGUUAUGAGGCACUGCCAUUGUAUUUUAUUGUUUUUACACGUCUCCUACUACUUCUUGACACGAUUCCAAUUAUGGCCGUAUUGAACACAGUGUACAAGUGAACACACUUUGACGGUAAGCCAGGGUCAUCAAUUCACUGAUUAGAGCUGCUUGUUUUAGGGCUUCCUCUUAAUACGCCUGGGAAUUACUGAUGACCCAUGAGAAGUUUAUUCACACUUGGCUGAUAAAGUCAUGCAUCGGUUGUCCUUUUACUUUUCUAUCAGCCGGCCUGCGGCUGGAUCUUUACUCGAUUUUCAUUCUCCACGUAUACUUGACAAAAAUCUGAAAGGUUCAAAUACACAUUUUCAUAAUAAUUUUAUAUAUAUGAAUUUGCAAUAAAUAAAAUAUCAAUAACUGAAAUAUGUGACAUAUUUAUGCACAUGCCCAGUAGAUGGGUAUAGUAUUCAUUAAGUUUAAUAGAAUACUGAUAGGUCUAAAGCUGCCACUUAUAAAUCAUAUUUAUGUGAUGAAUGAACCUUUGUCUUUUGGAACAUUUUGAAUAUUUAACUGUCUGUCACAAUUAAAAGUUAACAACAGCCACAUCACUGACAGAGGUCACAGGGAUUUCAUGAGUUCAUUCUUUUUUAAAUGUGUUAAAAUACAAAUAAUAAUAAUAUGAGUAAAAGUUGUUUGUCAUGUGGGAGGUUUCAUUCCUCUGAUUCAGCCCAAAUUAUUUUCACUUAUUCAUAUUCAGCCCAUGUUCAUGAGGACGACUCAAAAAGAACAUAAUAUUAAGCAAACUCUACAACUGCAUUUGAAUUUGAGCUCAAUUCAUUAGCCAAUAGCCACAGUUUCUGGGGCAAAAAUAGAAUUUACUAAUAAAUAUCCAUUGGAUACCAGACCUGCAGACAAGGUGUACACUGCAAAAAAUAAAUCUGUUCAUCUGUGUCUUUUACACACAAACAUCAAGUAUUGCAACAAAAAAAUAAUUGCAAAGGUCAGCAGCACACUAAGUGUUUUGUGGUGUUUCUGGAGAAGACGUACAGAGAGGAUGUGAAAAUCUUUCUGACCAUGUUGCAGAACUGAACUGUUUUCAAACCAGUUCUGGGAAGAGGAGUUGCAGAAUAAUAAUAUGAGAGAUUUGUUCAUCUCUGGACAGACAGUGACUGGAGUUGGGCAGGGUCCACCAUGAUUUCUUCACUUUCAUUUUGAUUUCCUGUUAUUCUGACUUGAAUCUCAACAAUAGCUCCGCAGGUGCAGCUGCGUGAGGAUUAAAACCAGGAGAAAGCCAAAUAGCGGAGGCCAGGGAGUUCAUGCUGUCUAUUACGCACAGAAGGGUUUGAUAAAUCCUGUCCCUAAUUCUUUUAUUCUUGUAUACUUUGGGUGGUACUGAAACUGCAGACCUUUCAGAGUCUAAGAUUGAAGACCUUUCCAUCCACCCACCGUUGUGUAAUGACUGAGGAUGUCAUCCUUGAAACAAAGGAAACAACAGAACAAAAACAAAGAAAUGAAUGAGCAGUUACUGGGCACAGGUCUACAUUUACCAUAAGAAUAGUUUAAUUACGGUAAGCGGUUGUGUCUCCAGCUCCGAUUAAUCACCUUUUUAUUCAUCUGCCUAUUUAUUUAGUCGUCACUCGAUGUGCCCCACCCCUGAAUACACCGACUUUAUUAAUUGAGAAACAACAUAUGCUCACAUCGAAGUGACCUUUACACAUUCAAAGAUAACGACUAUAAAGGAAUCAUUAGGGGUGGUGGUGUCACGUCUUGGAAUAACUCAACUAUAAAUACUGCUGAGGAACUUGCUACUGGUUUCAGGUCACGUUCAUCACGGUGCUCAGUUUAUAACUGCUGUUACUGCACUCAGGCGUCUUUUCAGUCCUCUUCUGUGAGUGUCUCUAGCCGGAAACCAUUUCUUACUUGUCCUGGCGAUCACACUUAUCUUAAGAUAUCUCACCUUCUUAUUUGUUCUUUUUCAAGUAACUUAUCUCAACAGGCAAACAUUACAGACACAAGCUCUGAUAAUCUGCAAUGAAAAUUGAUUUCAUUGAUAUGUAAUCUGACGACUCUCAAGUUUACACGGCAGACAGCUUUUUCCCUACAUUCCCUCUCAAAUCAACCUCAUAACUAGAAUGGCACUCAGUAGAGCACAUACCUCCGCCAAGGCCCAACAAUCCCCUUAAAUUCAAACAAGCUGCACCACAUUUCACACAUUAAUAGAUAUCAGUCCCCUAAAAGGCCUGAUUUUCUUUUAUUUAGACCUAUCAUGCAAAGAAAGGUAAAAAAUUCCUAUACCUUUUGAUUCCGAUCCUCAGCAAAAUUUAAAGUUUCUUCCCCGACACAUACUUUAUCCUUCUACCAAGUUUUAUUAAUUAUGUUAGUUUUGUCCCUUCGCUUGCUGCAAUGUAAAAAGUUAUUCUUCUGCUUACUUACAUUAAAUCAGUGCUCUUUACUUAUUUCUCACUAUCCAGUUGAUUCAACUCAUGUAAUGUAAGUCAUUCACUUAUUUGACCUAAAAGAAGAAUGAAACCAAAUCUACUAAUGUAAACUGGACUUGUGUUCCUGGAGAUAAAGGUGUGCAGUAGAGCAGUACGGGAACCAUCCAACGUUUGUAUUGCAGCGUGUUGGGGGGAGAUGGGCCCAGCGCCCCACCAUGCUCUGAGACAAUGUUGGAGACAUGAGUGAAGUUGUGUUCCAAGACCUUAUAGAUUUGACUUGGCUUUUUGCCGGUGAGUUCUUUUCAUUAUGACAGUUGAGGCUGCUGUCGUAAAAGAUGCAUUUUGGCACCAUGAGUGAAGCUAUGUGUACGGUUAAUAACACCUCAGAAUAGGUAUGACUUUAACUUUGGGGGGAUAUCCACCAACUUCCUAUAGCAACUAGCAUAAUAGAGCAUAUCAAUGGAUUAAUUAUACACUGAUAACCCUCGUCUAUGUUCCAAUAAAGGAUCUUGUUGUUAUUGGCACUGUUGAAAGUUGUGCUUGAUCUUUUACAGUGAAGAGAUCUGGGUUUAAUUUAAAGGUCACGUUGAAGGUGAAAAAUGGUAUGAUUGUAUAAUUUAACUUGUCAUAUUGUUAUUAAAUAAAAUUGUGUCAAUUGCCUUGAAUCAGUGUCAAUAAAAAAUUAUAAUUAUGUGAACCCAU